ACACAACAAUCUCGCUCACUGUCCUCUCCACCCGACGGGCAGACACACUUCCUAGGCUUAAAAUUACGGUAGGAACCGCUAAAAACAUAACAACCUCGCGUCCUCUCUACUCGACGGACAGGCACACUUCCUUUGCUGUGAAUUACGGAGAUGAGCUACGCGGGCCCUCCAGAGUCACAGGAUAGCACUUUAGCGCUGCAGAGCUACACUGCUGAAGAUGACGAUAGAAGCCCCGCUCUCUGGGAGAACAAGGUCCAGAUGGCUUGGGGGGACCCGUCAGUUUUCCUCCACCAGCCACUCUGCUUAUCGGCAACUUCACUUCACUUCAAGGAACAACUGACAGCUCUGUUAAUUAGCACCUUCAGCCGUUUUUCCCAGACACGGACAACACAAAGACUUUCAUAUGUAUUUUUACUCCUGUUCUCUUCCCACAUAUUUAGCCUAUUAUGCCAGUUGGCUUUUCAUUGAUAUCCUGUUAUGCAAAAAAUACCAAAUUAGUGGAGAUAAGGAGUGGAGAUAUGUCUCUGUUUCAAGACAGAAUUGAGUGAGCGGGUAGUUAAAAUUGGUCAGGAAUAAAUAGAAUCAUCAUUAACAACAGAAGUGUAGUUAGUUAGUAAACUGGUUAUUUGCUCUACUUUAUGACAUGAUUUAUUGUAGCAAACUUGAAGUGAACUUCCCAUUACCUCUAAAUGUUAGUUGUAAUGACCACAAUAGAGGAAACAAAAAAAAACAAAAAAAAAAAGAUGUUGACCCCUUUAUUGACAUUAACAAAUAUAUGAUUAUCACAGCAUUGAAAACUAAUAAUACAGACAAUAAAAACUUGAGUCAUUAUAAAUCCAUCGCCUCAUCGUUAUCAUCACCACUGUCACAGUCUCUACACCACCACUGAACUACUUUGUCUGAAACUGAAAGCCAUAAGACACAGUUCACAGUGGCAUCA
Molecule: long non-coding RNA, 940 nt
Organism: Perca fluviatilis (European perch)
Lineage: Eukaryota; Metazoa; Chordata; Actinopteri; Perciformes; Percidae
Exons: 3
Source: RefSeq, a predicted model, not a curated record